This 349-nucleotide ribosomal RNA is filed under the name uncultured bacterium. RNAcentral's name for it is "bacterial SSU rRNA". It matches the Rfam family "Bacterial small subunit ribosomal RNA", at positions 28 to 339 of the family's 1533-position model. The record is from RNAcentral.
GAUGAACGCUGGCGGCGUGCCUAAUACAUGCAAGUCGAACGCAUUGUGGUUGAAAUGAUAUGAAGAACUUGUUCAGAUUUGAUUUUAAACAUUGCAAUGAGUGGCGAACGGGUGAGUAACACGUGGGAAACCUACCUCUUAGCAGGGGAUAACAUUUGGAACAAAUGCUAAUACCGUAUAAUAAUUAAAACCGCAAUGGUUUUAGUUUAAAAGAUGGUCUUGCUAUCACUAAGAGAUGGUCCCGCGGUGUAUUAGUUAGUUGGUGAGGUAAUGGCUCACCAAGCAAUGAUACAUAGCCGAGUUGAGAGACUGACCGGCCACAAUGGGACUGAGACACGGCCCAUACUCC